GCCACUUUUGGAAGCCAGGAGUGCUCUCCUCUGUGCAAUAGAAGACGCACCUUUCCCCAGACCUUUUGGAAGAGCUCUAGCAAUGAUGGUUUGAAAAAGGUUUCUAUCUCUGGUGCUGCUGUAUUCCCACUCUUCCCCACAAACACUGCAGUGUCUGAACAGCUAUGAUCUCUCCAAUGUGUUUAUCCUCUCAACACGCCUGGGAGGGAUGAAGAACUCAAUUUUGCAGGGGCUGAGCGACCUCUUUUCUCCACAAGUUUACCUGACUGCAGCUGAGGAUUCUUAGCACAUCUCAGAAAUGCACUUCACUUCCAAGGAGAGAAAUUCUGACUCCUUUGAAGCUGAUGGGAGUUCUGCCAUCAGUCUGGCUGAGUUUUCUUCCAUGGCCUGUAAAACAGAUCUGUCUGCUGUCUGCAUGUGUA
This is a long non-coding RNA of Poecile atricapillus (Black-capped chickadee), 422 nucleotides long. RefSeq lists it as uncharacterized. The record is from RefSeq and is a predicted model, not a curated record. The transcript has 3 exons. NCBI's taxonomy places the organism in Eukaryota, Metazoa, Chordata, Aves, Passeriformes, Paridae.